RNAcentral lists this long non-coding RNA (473 nucleotides) under Solanum lycopersicum (tomato). RNAcentral's name for it is "long non-coding RNA (SLYC_LNC000696)". The record is from RNAcentral. Lineage: Eukaryota; Viridiplantae; Streptophyta; Magnoliopsida; Solanales; Solanaceae.
CUAUUUGUGGACACUUGAGCAAUCGUUGUGUUGCCACAAAUAAUCGUUACAUUUGCUCCACUCACUCCGACGCCUGGGGCAUUACUUCCCGGUACGGAGCAAGACAAACUCCCCAAUAUACUUAAAUUAACAACACGAUCAACAACAGGUGGUACAAUCGGUGGUACUUGACCACCAACAGGUGGUACAAUCGGUGGUACUUGACCAACAACAGGUGGUACAAUCGGUUGGCCAAGAAUAGGACUAAGAAUGGGACCAACAAUUGGACCGAGAAUAGAACCAACAAUCGGUAAUUGGCCAAGACCAACAGGUGGUACUUGACCAACGGGUGGUACAAUACGUGGUGCAGGUUGCCCCAAAAUGGGACCCACAAAGGGAAUGGGACCCAAAAUGGGACGAACAAUGAGACCCAAACCUUGAGCAUGGGCUAGAGGACUGAUGGUGAUGAUGGAAAGUAGAACAACAAGGGAAAC